AACGAACGCUGGCGGCAUGCCUAACACAUGCAAGUCGAACGAGACCUUCGGGUCUAGUGGCGCACGGGUGCGUAACGCGUGGGAACCUGCCCUUAGGUUCGGAAUAACUCCCCGAAAGGGGUGCUAAUACCGGAUAAUGUCUUCGGACCAAAGAUUUAUCGCCUUUGGAUGGGCCCGCGUUGGAUUAGCUAGUUGGUAGGGUAAAAGCCUACCAAGGCGACGAUCCAUAGCUGGUCUGAGAGGAUGAUCAGCCACACUGGGACUGAGACACGGCCCAGACUCCUACGGGAGGCAGCAGUGGGGUAUAUUGGACAAUGGGCGAAAGCCUGAUCCAGCAAUGCCGCGUGAGUGAUGAAGGCCUUAGGGUUGUAAAGCUCUUUUACCCGGGAUGAUAAUGACAGUACCGGGAGAAUAAGCUCCGGCUAACUCCGUG
Molecule: ribosomal RNA, 433 nt
Filed under: uncultured bacterium
Lineage: Bacteria
Description: partial 16S ribosomal RNA
Rfam family: Bacterial small subunit ribosomal RNA
Source: RNAcentral